CCAGCUGUUACCAAAGUAGAGGAAUGUACUAAAGCCCUUACAGGAGUUGGAGCUGCUAUUGCUGCUGGU
Molecule: transfer RNA, 69 nt
Filed under: Trachelipus rathkii
Lineage: Eukaryota; Metazoa; Arthropoda; Malacostraca; Isopoda; Trachelipodidae
Description: tRNA-Ser
Source: RNAcentral